GGGCCCGUAGCUCAGCGGUGAGAGCGGUCGGCUCAUAACCGAUUGGUCCUGGGUUCGAAUCCCGGCGGGCCCACCA
RNAcentral lists this transfer RNA (76 nucleotides) under Chloroflexota bacterium. Its description in RNAcentral is "Chloroflexi bacterium tRNA-Ile". It matches the Rfam family "tRNA". From Rfam's summary of the family: Transfer RNA (tRNA) molecules are approximately 80 nucleotides in length. Their secondary structure includes four short double-helical elements and three loops (D, anti-codon, and T loops). RNAcentral also lists the same sequence under 2 other names. The record is from RNAcentral. Lineage: Bacteria; Bacillati; Chloroflexota.